Molecule: unclassified non-coding RNA, 345 nt
Filed under: soil metagenome
Description: partial contains 5.8S ribosomal RNA, internal transcribed spacer 2, and large subunit ribosomal RNA
Rfam family: 5.8S ribosomal RNA (bases 1-120)
Source: RNAcentral
GAUGAAGAACGUAGCGAAAUGCGAUAAGUAAUGUGAAUUGCAGAAUUCCGUGAAUCAUCGAAUCUUUGAACGCACAUUGCGCCCUCUGGUAUUCCGGGGGGCAUGCCUGUCUGAGCGUCAUUUGCAACCCUCAAGCCCGGCUUGUGUGAUGGGUGCCGUCCCCUACGGGACGCGCCCCGAAGGCAAUGGCGGCGUCGCGGUUAUCCGAUCAGCCAAAGUGUAUGGGGCUUUGUCACUCACUUUACGGCCCGGACCGGCGCCAGUCCGAAUCAAUCUUUUUUCUAAAGUUGACCUCGGAUCAGGUAGGGAUACCCGCUGAACUUAAGCAUAUCAAUAAGCGGAGGA